RNAcentral lists this long non-coding RNA (423 nucleotides) under Pan troglodytes (chimpanzee). RNAcentral's name for it is "long non-coding RNA NONPTRT013068". The record is from RNAcentral. Lineage: Eukaryota; Metazoa; Chordata; Mammalia; Primates; Hominidae.
GGCGUGCUGUGGUGCAGGUGGCCGAAGGGGGCGUUACUGUUGCGACUGCCAUCCGCAUCCGGCAGAUGUAGAUGGAACCAAAGUCCAGAAGUUACGCGUCACCCUUGCUCUACAGCCAAACAUGCAGGACUCUAGUAACCCGCGAAAUGAUGGGAUAGCGUUGCAAAUCCUUAAAAGAGUCUUACGGAGAAGGAAAAAUGUUACAUUGUCAAAGUCCCAAAGCCUUUCAGCCUGAAGCCAGGAACAAUUGUUCAAAGUUUCUUUGGAACAUCAAGGAAGGAAAUCUGGAUUUUACUUUAAGUGCAAUGGGGAGUCAUUAAGGAUUUUGUGUAGAUACAGCAAAAAGGCAACAAUCUUCAAACCACAAUGGCCCUCACCAGAACCCAGCCAUGUGGUCAGCCUGAUCUCGGACUUCACAGCCAG